UACGAAGGGGGCUAGCGUUGCUCGGAAUCACUGGGCGUAAAGCGCACGUAGGCGGCUUACUAAGUCAGGGGUGAAAUCCUGGAGCUCAACUCCAGAACUGCCUUUGAUACUGGUGAGCUUGAGUCCGGAAGAGGUGAGUGAAACUGCGAGUGUAGAGGUGAAAUUCGUAGAUAUUCGCAAGAACACCAGUGGCGAAGGCGGCUCACUGGUCCGGUACUGACGCUGAGGUGCGAAAGCGUGGGGAGCAAACAGG
This 253-nucleotide ribosomal RNA is filed under the name uncultured bacterium. RNAcentral describes it as "partial 16S ribosomal RNA". It matches the Rfam family "Bacterial small subunit ribosomal RNA", at positions 524 to 776 of the family's 1533-position model. The record is from RNAcentral.